CGGGACGGGGUGGAGUAAUGUCUGGGAAACUGCCCGAUGGAGGGGGAUAACUACUGGAAACGGUAGCUAAUACCGCAUAACGUCGCAAGACCAAAGAGGGGGACCUUAGGGCCUCUUGCCAUCGGAUGUGCCCAGAUGGGAUUAGCUAGUAGGUGGGGUAAUGGCUCACCUAGGCGACGAUCCCUAGCUGGUCUGAGAGGAUGACCAGCCACACUGGAACUGAGACACGGUCCAG
Molecule: ribosomal RNA, 235 nt
Filed under: uncultured bacterium
Lineage: Bacteria
Description: partial 16S ribosomal RNA
Rfam family: Bacterial small subunit ribosomal RNA
Source: RNAcentral